RNAcentral lists this ribosomal RNA (984 nucleotides) under metagenome. Its description in RNAcentral is "bacterial LSU rRNA". It matches the Rfam family "Bacterial large subunit ribosomal RNA", at positions 1942 to 2925 of the family's 2925-position model. The record is from RNAcentral.
AUAACGGUCCUAAGGUAGCGAAAUUCCUUGUCAGGUAAGUUCUGACCCGCACGAAUGGCGUAAUGACUUGUGCACUGUCUCAACUGUGAAUCCGGCGAAGUUGUAGUGCGAGUGAAGAUGCUCGCUACCCGCGAUUGGACGGAAAGACCCCGUAGAGCUUUACUGUAGCUUAGCAUUGAAUUUCGGUAUUGUCUGUACAGGAUAGGUGGGAGACUGGGAAAUUAGGGCGUCAGCCUUAAUGGAGUCGUUGUUGGGAUACCACCCUGAUAGUAUUGAAGUUCUAACUGGAUGCCAUGAAACUGGUGACAGGACAUUGUUAGGUGGGCAGUUUGACUGGGGCGGUCGCCUCCUAAAAUGUAACGGAGGCGCCCAAAGGUUCCCUCAGAACGGUCGGAAAUCGUUCGUAGAGUGUAAAGGCAUAAGGGAGCCUGACUGCGAGACCUACAAGUCGAGCAGGGACGAAAGUCGGGCUUAGUGAUCCGGUGGUACCUCGUGGGAGGGCCAUCGCUCAACGGAUAAAAGCUACCUCGGGGAUAACAGGCUGAUCUCCCCCAAGAGUUCACAUCGACGGGGAGGUUUGGCACCUCGAUGUCGGCUCAUCGCAUCCUGGGGCUGUAGUCGGUCCCAAGGGUUGGGCUGUUCGCCCAUUAAAGCGGUACGCGAGCUGGGUUCAGAACGUCGUGAGACAGUUCGGUCCCUAUCUGUCGUGGGCGUAGGAAGUUUGAGAAGAUCUGUCCUCAGUACGAGAGGACCGGGAUGGACAUAUCAAUGGUGCACCAGUUGUCACGCCAGUGGCACAGCUGGGUAGCUAAAUAUGGAAGGGAUAAACGCUGAAGGCAUCUAAGUGUGAAACCCACUUCAAGAUGAGACUUCCCAUUACGCAAGUAAGUAAGACCCCUUAAAGACGAUAAGGUUGAUAGGUCAGGAGUGUAAGCAUGGCGACAUGUUCAGCGGACUGAUACUAAUAGGUCGAGGACUUAACCU